CAGUAGCCACGGGAAUACGUAGGUGGCAAGCGUUGUCCGGAAUUAUUGGGCGUAAAGGGCUCGCAGGCGGUUUCUUAAGUCUGAUGUGAAAGCCCCCGGCUCAACCGGGGAGGGUCAUUGGAAACUGGGAAACUUGAGUGCAGAAGAGGAGAGUGGAAUUCCACGUGUAGCGGUGAAAUGCGUAGAGGUGUGGAGGAACACCAGUGGCGAAGGCGACUCUCUGGUCUGUAACUGACGCUGAGGAGCGAAAGCGUGGGGAGCGAACAGGAUUAGAUACCCCGGUAGUCCUUGUCUCUUAUAC
RNAcentral lists this ribosomal RNA (301 nucleotides) under uncultured bacterium. Its description in RNAcentral is "partial 16S ribosomal RNA". It matches the Rfam family "Bacterial small subunit ribosomal RNA", at positions 509 to 807 of the family's 1533-position model. The record is from RNAcentral.